CCAUCCUCACCGUGCCCUAAUCUCACGCCAACCACUCCAUUUCCCUUCCUCCUUCCUCUCCCAAUCCAGCACCGAUGGUCUCCGUCUUCUCCCGAUUUUCCCCUAAAACUUAUUGUUGCCGCCUACCUUCUUCCCUUGUCCUUGCACGAGCACUCUCGGACGCCGCCGGCCUCUCCUCACGCUAGCAUCAGAGAUGCCGCAUCACUGCUGGUCGCGACAAGCUGCAGCCGCCGAGCCCCCUUGUCCUCACGCAAGCACCUCAGUCGCCGAGCCACAGCCACUGAUUCCGCCGAUGCUCGACGCACCCCACGCGAUUCUGCCCGACAUUGCCACCUUCUCCUCUCCAUGCACCGUCGGCUACCGCAGCUUGACGCCGGACGUCGCAGUCUACCUCCAGAUCGCCGAUUCUUCUCUUCACCGAUCCUCUCCCGAUUUGCCCUCAUCGUGACACUUGAUUGACGACGCUGACCCCCCUUAGCUCCGAUCCAGCGGUCGUCUGUCCAGCCCUAGCCGCGGACACCAGGAACUUGUCGGAAACCAAGCGCUCGAGGUUGAAGCAGCUCGGCCUUGUCGUCGCCUCUUCCCUUUCAUCGUCGGCAUAGAUCCACUGGAUCUCUGCACAUCGCAACUCCGAUCACUGGAUUUUGAUUCCUCUUCGUCGCUGGUACAGAUUGGUUAUCGAUCCGUUGGGUGGGACCGAUUUCAUACACAGAAUUAGAUUGAGCUCCGGCCAGCACUGUUCACCGACGAUCCACAGUGUCGGUCAUCUUGUUACAACUGUGAGCUUUUCAGACAUAAGCUACCAGCAACUCACUUGAGAUUGGAUUCGCAAGGGAAGAAGUUAACGAACAGUAGUGAAGCGUUGCUAUUGGUUGUGAGCCACUUUCAGUGACAUCUUGUUGCCAAAUUUAGAGUAAGGUAUGUUGAGAUUUGAUUUUAGUUCUGCAUGGGAUUUGAUUGGUGAUGAUUGAUGAGUAAUUAGUGGUGUUGUUGGGAUUAAUUAUUGGAUGUGGUGGUUAGAAACUGGUUAAGUGGAAGAACUAUGUAUGUUAGAUUCAUGAUGGUUAUUUGGUGAAUGAUUUAUACAAAUGGAUGCAUGAUCAUUAUUAAUAUAUUAUGGAUUAGUUGUUUAUUAAAGAUUGAGGCUAGGAUUGGAU
Zingiber officinale is the source of this 1157-nucleotide long non-coding RNA. RefSeq lists it as uncharacterized. The transcript has 5 exons. The record is from RefSeq and is a predicted model, not a curated record. Lineage: Eukaryota; Viridiplantae; Streptophyta; Magnoliopsida; Zingiberales; Zingiberaceae.